AACAAAAACACGACAGGAAUUGGAAUGAGAUGACCGCCACUGAGCCGAAAAGACCAUCACAAUGGUUGACGUUUGCAUGACGAGGACUGAUGAUCACCGAAAUUCCCUUGAUGCAUUUAGCUCUGACGCAACACAUUCAGGCAUCUUCAGUCAUGAGAUUUUACGUUCCACUUCCGUGUGAGUUGGAAUUUGAAAACAAUUUGAAAAAUGUAGAGUGUAUACCCAUCUUCUCGUCAACCAAACCAAGUACAAACAAGUUUUUCUCCUUCUGACUUGAAAGGAUUUGGGUGUGCUGUACUCCGUUAGACUGAAUGUCUGCUGGUCCGUGCGGGUUGCCGCCGAUGGGUCAAACAGCUUUUCACAGGGAAACUCAGUCAAGCUGACAGGUGGAAAAGAUAAUUACAGCUCGAGGGAAUUGUUCCCUGACUCUUCGAUGCAUUUGAGGCCACAAAAGGGAGAGGCACUGUAUCAAAAUGGCAGGUUCGGUGGAGACCGCCCCUGCUGCGUGCUAUCGCGACCUCAAGUGCGUUGAAUGGACUCGCAUGUGACAAGGAGCGCCAUAUUGUUUCACUUGAUGAAUCGUGCAUUAAACUGUAUUUGCUCCACUGCGGCCUAAGACAAUAUCUUCGAUGUUGUGUGGCGGCUCUGAGACUCUGUGCCUGCCAGUGAGCACAAAAACACACAGACACACUCGCUGCCCAGUCGAGCCGGUCUGACUUGAUGUCCAAGCAUCUGUGUCAAUGACAUAAGAGCAUGGGUUUACUUUCGUUAUUACUCAAGCGAAAGUGCUUGACGUUCACUUGAGUUGCAUUGUGAACGGUCUCUAACUUUUGUGGGAGGAGAAUACACAAGCAGCUGGUGAAAUACUUUGAGAAAAGAUUUCUGUAAUAAAUAAAAACACCUUCAUUUGAGACCGGUGAUCUCAUAAUACGUUUUAUGGAUAAACAGAAACAUUGCAAACAACCGUUUAUCUUGCUGGGGGUGUUUACAACUCAAAGGCACAAUUACCAGAACAAGUCAUCCUACUUCCUGUAAUCUUCGAGGAAAAACUGGACUCUUAACUGGCAGCGUCGAAUUGUAAGCAAACACACGAAAUGCAGCGUGUAUUUCCUGAAUCCAACGAGGGCUCAUUUUGCUAUCUUUGUAUACCUAAAAUAAAGUGGACCAAAACAAGAUAUCAUCUGCUUGCACAUGCGCUGUGCGCACCGACCACCGUAGACAAACAAGUUCUAAGCUUCAAACAUAACUCGAUUACUUGUAGAGCAUGUUGUGAUUUGUGGGCCGUAAACAGUUCUCAGUCAAGUCCUCGCCACUCUGGCCUGUGUCACCGGAGGCUGUAAUGCUUAAACGCUGAGCGAGAAGGAAAUCGAGAGCGUGUUAAUGGGAUAAGGAAAGGUGAUGAAUUGAUGACCUCGGGCUGUGAGUCCACAGGGGACACAAAAGACCCUGGGGGGCUGUUUCCUCUAAACAAACCUGAAAAAGCAAUCCUAACAGUGUCCAUUCUAUAUGUAAAUGUAGCACUUGUUGAAAAACAACAAAGACAUGCUAAUUGUUCCAGUAAUUCUUAUUUGCGAUGAACAGAACUCCAUCCACUUGGGUGAACAGCUUGCAUUAGAAGACAACAAUGCGAACUCCCCGGGGCUUUAUAAGUCAGGCACGCAGAUCAUUUCACCGAGGUUAGUGGGUGCAGUCGAAAUAAACCCCGAAGCCAGGAAAAUGUGAAUCCAUUUUGAAACCAGUGGUCCUUAAGAAGCCCAGUCGGCCAAGCUUCCAUUCUCAUGCCAGGAAAAGCUUGUGCUGUUCAUGCAGAAGCUCUGGGGAGCAAAUGUCAUUCUAGUGCCGGGCAAUUUAGCCCAAGAGACCACAUCACAUGAAUUCAUAAAAAUGAAUCUACUUCAAGUGAAUUGUAACGAUACAGCGCAGAUGGCAAUUUCCUGCAUAAAAGCGGACCCCUCAUCGAAGUCACACAAGAGCAUUCACAGAUUUCGGAACUCGGUUCAUACACAAGGCGACCCAACAUUAUUAGGUCCAUUUGGGAGAAAAUGUCCGACUUUUAAGUGUGCCUUAUGGUCGUGAAAAUACAGUAGUUGGCAACAAAACAUUUACUACUGGACCACUGGACUGGACUACUGAAGCAAUGCUGGUCCAACAUCUUGAAAUUGGUCGAAAUGUGCAUGUCCUCGUGUGUGUCUCCUUCCUUUUAUGGAAAAGGACAGAGGGGAAAAACACGAAGCAAUACCAGUUCACCCCACCCUGGUUUGUACCAAUGAGGAACGGAAUGAGUCACAAGUGGAACACAAAAUGUUCUCUCACAAGUCUGAUGUCAUCUUGAUGAACAAGAGGAUGUUAAUUCAAUUUAAAAAAAUGACAGAAAAGCUCAAUAAGAGAGCAGAUGUGACUGGCUGUUAUCGUAAUUUCAUGAGAACACACGUUUCAGGUGCUGGAUUUUCACCGAUUGCCUCUGAAGAUGACAGAGCAUUGUGAAAAUUAUGUGGGAGGGGGAAAAAAAAAUUUGCUUUGGGAAAUACUUCCAACUUUUAUACCAAACAAUUUUUUUGUAUUUGCGGCUGUGUACUUGUUCGUCUUAACAGCACGUUCGGCACAGCUCGUGACAUCGUCCUUAGUAUUAUUGUGGAGACAAAGAAAGGGAGUCGUAGCCUAGUAAGUGUAUCACCUAACAAUUUACUAAACGGUUCUCAAAACGACGCAAAGCUCGGAAGAAAAAAAAAGAUGAAUAUGGAUGUAAAUGGCCCCUGCCGUGAGCCUCAACGGGAUAAGCGUUACAAAAUAUGGGCGGCAGCCGCGUUUUCAAACAGUCAUUGUACUUGUGCGCACGCCCUUUCGCAUAAAUGAUGACAGCUGACCAGCCAGUUUCAUGGCCAAACGGUUUGGAUAACCGUGGAAUGAGGAACAAAGGACGGCCCGACCGAGCAAACACAUGAGGACGAUCCCCGAGCCUAACAUCUUUUGGCCUUAGGGCAUCGCAGGGGACAUCGAGGCUGGGGCGUUAAAAUCCACCGAUUUAUUCUUAAGUGCCUGCCUGGCUGAGAAUAUCUCCCUUUCCCCAUCUGUUACCAAUGGCACCAGCCUACGCAGAGCUGGAGGGGGGUCUGGAUUGGGGAAAACACAGUGGAGGGGGCGGGGGGGGUUAAAACAGUGCCCCCCCCCCAAGGCAAAUUAAAAUUCUAAUUAUCCUCUAUUACAAGCUGUGUGCGCUCCAAAGCAGAUCAGAUACUGAUGACUUCUGCAGCCAGCUGUUUAGACGCUCGAUUGAACAAUAGGCCAUAAAUGUGUGCGUUCGGAAUCAGGGGAAUUUAUGCGUCGGAUGGAUUAAGAUUAAUACGAAGGGAUGAUGAUGCUCUCUUUGGCUUUGUAAAUAUGUUUUUUUUUUUUAUAUUCCAUUAAUGGCCUUUUUCCAGAGCGGGGAUUGUUUUCGAUGAAAUUUCGGUCAUGUUUUGGAUCAAGCUAUUUUCGUUUUAAUUCCAGGUUUGCUAGUUUAUCCUACUAAUCCAAUGGAUUGCUAGCCAAGAUGUCGGAAUUAGAGUGCUGCACAGUACACAAAUAAUAAGAUCCCUGGGUUGAAGAAAACAAAAUGCACAGAAAAAGCCUUUAUGAGCCACACAACUUUCACCUGUAUCGAAAAAAAAAAGGACAUUCCCGUGAAACGGCUGUGGUUUCCCAAAGAACCAAAUCUGCCCUUGUAGGGGUUGCAAGCGCACACAUUACAUUCGCCCAGGGAGGAGAAGGAAGUCUCUAAACAGACAGCAACAUCCCCCUACUCCCCACCCAUCCACCCUGUGGUGUUGCAACGCAUUGAGGCGAGCCACGUGUGCUGCUAUUACAUCCCAUUGUUCUUGCCGCACGGAGGGACGGGGCGUAGCGGUGCUCCCAAAAGAACAACAGACACUUUUUGCAUUUGAAGGGCUGCGUGUGCAUGCGAGGUCAAAGCGGUUGAGGGCAGGGGAGGGGAGGAGUGCGCUAUUAUGUGACCCCACUUUGCAAAUGAAACACACACACACACACACACACACACACACACACACACACACACAGACCUGAAGAACAGAUGGGAUAAAGGCAAACAGUGAAUCCCCCUAUGCUCUUCUAUCAUCCUCGGCACUGAGGACAGCUGGGAGGCAGAAUUCCUUCCUCUCAGUUUACAGGGGGAAAACAAAGGAGAGUGUCGGGGAACACCCCCCACUCCGCAUCCCCCUCCUUUGCACAUGUGCAUGUGUUGAGCACACCCCCACGCUUGCCCCUCCCAGACUGUCGGUGGAACUGUGACAACUGUGAGCUGGCCGCAUUUCAGAAGGCAGACUGUUAGCCAGCAAAGGGUUGAGGACAUUGGCUCAAAGUGAGAGGCCAGCGAGACUCUCCGAGUCUGGCGCCUUGACCAUCCAAGUCAAAUAACCUCUGCAAAUUGGAAACCUUUCGAAUUUUUUCUUUUUAUGUGUAAAUGUAGUGACCAAAAUCAAUAGUACAGCACAUUCAGGGUUCUUAAAUGGAUGAGUCAUUGUGAAGCUGUUAAUUUCCCUUCAAUUUACGGAGGAAUAAACAGCACAUAAAUAUCCUGCACCAAAGAGGGAGAGACCAUUUACAUCAAAAACUCCACAUCAUCUCUGCGCAAGGGCACGGAUGUUAGAUUUGCAGUGCUGACUGACUGAUCGCCUUCGAAAGCGCAACUGCCGACAAGGGGGUGAAGAAAUAGCAGCGACAUCAAACCGUGUUUGUGAAACAUGAGGCCGCGCUACACACGGAGCAGAGUGGUGUAUACUUUCACUUUAGUAUUCACAGCAUCAGCUGUGCAACAACUGAUACGGACGGUUACCACUUUGA
Hippocampus comes (tiger tail seahorse) is the source of this 4836-nucleotide long non-coding RNA. RefSeq lists it as uncharacterized. Lineage: Eukaryota; Metazoa; Chordata; Actinopteri; Syngnathiformes; Syngnathidae. The transcript is spliced from 2 exons. The record is from RefSeq and is a predicted model, not a curated record.